This 372-nucleotide ribosomal RNA is filed under the name uncultured organism. RNAcentral's name for it is "bacterial SSU rRNA". It matches the Rfam family "Bacterial small subunit ribosomal RNA", at positions 526 to 896 of the family's 1533-position model. The record is from RNAcentral.
CGUAGGUGGCGAGCGUUAUCCGGAAUUACUGGGCGUAAAGCGUGUGCAGGCGGGCUAGCAAGUGGUGUAUGAAAGCUCCCGGCUCAACCGGGAAGGGUUAUGCCAGACUGCUAGUCUUGAGUGCGAGAGAGGAGCGUGGAAUUCCGGGUGUAGUGGUGAAAUGCGUAGAGAUCCGGAGGAACCCCAGAGGCGAAGGCGGCGCUCUGGCUCGCAACUGACGCUCAGACACGACAGCAUGGGGAGCGAACGGGAUUAGAAACCCCGGUAGUCCAUGCCGUAAACGAUGCUAACUAGGCGCUGCGGGACUCAACCCCCGCGGUGCCGCAGCCAACGCGAUAAGUUAGCCGCCUGGGGAGUACGGCCGCAAGGCUA